GUUAAGAAUCUUGCACAAUGGGCGAAAGCCUGAUGCAGCGACGCCGCGUGAAUGAUGAAGGCCUUCGGGUUGUAAAGUUCAGUAAGCAGGGAAGAAUAAGCAAGAGGUAAUAUUUCUUGUGAUGACGGUACCUGCCUAAAGCCCCGGCUAACUACGUGCCAGCAGCCGCGGUAAUACGUAUGGGGCGAGCGUUGUUCGGAAUUAUUGGGCGUAAAGGGCGUCUAGGCGGGAAAUUAAGUUAGGUGUGAAAGCUAUGGGCUCAACCCAUAAACUGCAUCUAAAACUGAUUUUCUUGAGUUCGGGAGAGGAGAGCGGAAUUCCAGGUGUAGCGGUGAAAUGCGUAGAUAUCUGGAAGAACACCAGUGGCGAAGGCGGCUCUCUGGCCUAGAACUGACGCUGAAGCGCGAAAGCGUGGGGAGCGAACAGGAUUAGAAACCCGUGUAGUCC
RNAcentral lists this ribosomal RNA (447 nucleotides) under uncultured bacterium. RNAcentral describes it as "bacterial SSU rRNA". It matches the Rfam family "Bacterial small subunit ribosomal RNA", at positions 354 to 796 of the family's 1533-position model. The record is from RNAcentral.